UACGUAGGGCGCAAGCGUUGUCCGGAAUCAUUGGGCGUAAAGAGCUCGUAGGCGGUUUGUCGCGUCGGAUGUGAAAACCCAGGGCUCAACCCUGGGCCUGCAUUCGAUACGGGCAGACUAGAGUAUGGCAGGGGAGACUGGAAUUCCUGGUGUAGCGGUGAAAUGCGCAGAUAUCAGGAGGAACACCGGUGGCGAAGGCGGGUCUCUGGGCAGUAACUGACGCUGAGGAGCGAAAGCGUGGGGAGCGAACAGG
RNAcentral lists this ribosomal RNA (253 nucleotides) under uncultured bacterium. RNAcentral's name for it is "partial 16S ribosomal RNA". It matches the Rfam family "Bacterial small subunit ribosomal RNA", at positions 524 to 776 of the family's 1533-position model. The record is from RNAcentral.